RNAcentral lists this ribosomal RNA (465 nucleotides) under Vreelandella stevensii. RNAcentral's name for it is "partial 16S ribosomal RNA". It matches the Rfam family "Bacterial small subunit ribosomal RNA", at positions 338 to 795 of the family's 1533-position model. The record is from RNAcentral. Lineage: Bacteria; Pseudomonadati; Pseudomonadota; Gammaproteobacteria; Oceanospirillales; Halomonadaceae.
CCUACGGGAGGCAGCAGUGGGGAAUAUUGGACAAUGGGCGAAAGCCUGAUCCAGCCAUGCCGCGUGUGUGAAGAAGGCCUUCGGGUUGUAAAGCACUUUCAGUGGGGAAGAAAGCCUUGGGGCUAAUACCCUCGAGGAAGGACAUCACCCACAGAAGAAGCACCGGCUAACUCCGUGCCAGCAGCCGCGGUAAUACGGAGGGUGCGAGCGUUAAUCGGAAUUACUGGGCGUAAAGCGCGCGUAGGCGGUCUGAUAAGCCGGUUGUGAAAGCCCCGGGCGCAACCUGGGAACGGCAUCCGGAACUGUCAGGCUAGAGUGCAGGAGAGGAAGGUAGAAUUCCCGGUGUAGCGGUGAAAUGCGUAGAGAUCGGGAGGAAUACCAGUGGCGAAGGCGGCCUUCUGGACUGACACUGACGCUGAGGUGCGAAAGCGUGGGUAGCAAACAGGAUUAGAUACCCUUGUAGUC